RNAcentral lists this ribosomal RNA (492 nucleotides) under uncultured bacterium. RNAcentral describes it as "partial 16S ribosomal RNA". It matches the Rfam family "Bacterial small subunit ribosomal RNA", at positions 29 to 507 of the family's 1533-position model. The record is from RNAcentral.
AGUGAACGCUGGCGGUAGGCCUAACACAUGCAAGUCGAACGGCAGCACAGUAAGAGCUUGCUCUUACGGGUGGCGAGUGGCGGACGGGUGAGGAAUACAUCGGAAUCUACUUUUUCGUGGGGGAUAACGUAGGGAAACUUACGCUAAUACCGCAUACGACCUACGGGUGAAAGCAGGGGAUCUUCGGACCUUGCGCGUUUGAAUGAGCCGAUGUCGGAUUAGCUAGUUGGCGGGGUAAAGGCCCACCAAGGCGACGAUCCGUAGCUGGUCUGAGAGGAUGAUCAGCCACACUGGACCUGAGCCACGGUCCAGACUCCUACGGGAGGCAGCAGUGGGGAAUAUUGGACAAUGGGCGCAAGCCUGAUCCAGCCAUACCGCGUGGGUGAAGAAGGCCUUCGGGUUGUAAAGCCCUUUUGUUGGGAAAGAAAAGCAGCAGGUUAAUACCCCGCUGUUCUGACGGUACCCAAAGAAUAAGCACCGGCUAACUUCGUG